GACGAACGCUGGCGGCGUGCUUAACACAUGCAAGUCGAGCGGUAAGGCCCUUUCGGGGUACGACGAGCGGCGAACGGGUAGGAGUAACAACGUGGGUGGACCUCGCCCUCCAGCUCUGGGAGUAAGCCCGGGAAACCGUAGGUCGUAAUACUGGAUAUGACUCCAUGACGCAUGUUGUGGGGUGGGAAAGACCUUGUGCGGCUGAGGA
This 208-nucleotide ribosomal RNA is filed under the name uncultured bacterium. RNAcentral describes it as "partial 16S ribosomal RNA". It matches the Rfam family "Bacterial small subunit ribosomal RNA", at positions 28 to 225 of the family's 1533-position model. The record is from RNAcentral.